GCAUCGGUGGUGUAUGCACACACGUCGGCUUCUUGAGGCUUUGGAAAGGAAAGAAGACACUCGUGACGAGCCCGGGGUUCGACUCCCCGUCGAUGCA
Molecule: non-coding RNA, 97 nt
Organism: Mycena maculata
Lineage: Eukaryota; Fungi; Basidiomycota; Agaricomycetes; Agaricales; Mycenaceae
Source: the annotation of a GenBank genome assembly